GACGAACGCUGGCGGCGUGCUUAACACAUGCAAGUCGAACGGAAAGGCCCUGCUUUUGUGGGGUGCUCGAGUGGCGAACGGGUGAGUAACACGUGAGUAACCUGCCCUUGACUUUGGGAUAACUUCAGGAAACUGGGGCUAAUACCGGAUAGGAGCUCCUGCUGCAUGGUGGGGGUUGGAAAGUUUCGGCGGUUGGGGAUGGACUCGCGGCUUAUCAGCUUGUUGGUGGGGUAGUGGCUUACCAAGGCUUUGACGGGUAGCCGGCCUGAGAGGGUGACCGGCGACAAUGGGACUGAGGUACGGAGCAGAAUCGUACGGGAGGCAGCAGGCGGGAAUAUUGCACAAUGGGCGGAAGCGUGAUGCAGCAACGCCGCGUGCGGGAUGACGGCCUUCGGGUUGUGAACCGCUUUCGCCUGUGACGAAGCGUGAGUGACGGUAAUGGGUAAAGAAGCACCGGCUAACUACGUG
This 468-nucleotide ribosomal RNA is filed under the name uncultured bacterium. RNAcentral's name for it is "partial 16S ribosomal RNA". It matches the Rfam family "Bacterial small subunit ribosomal RNA", at positions 28 to 507 of the family's 1533-position model. The record is from RNAcentral.